RNAcentral lists this long non-coding RNA (317 nucleotides) under Gouania willdenowi (blunt-snouted clingfish). RNAcentral's name for it is "lncRNA (ENSGWIG00000003219.1)". Lineage: Eukaryota; Metazoa; Chordata; Actinopteri; Blenniiformes; Gobiesocidae. The record is from RNAcentral.
UAGUACCAGUACCAGAGCCAAGCCAUGGACUCAAGCAUGGAAAACCUUUCUUCAAAGCAGAUGAUGGAGCAGAUAGCUGACCUCGCGCACAGUCAGAGUCAGCUGAAGGAGCUGACCAAGGAGAUGAGACAAUGGCUGGAUGUCGCUGACGAGGAGAUAUCAGAGCUGCGCUCACAGAACACUAGCAUGACAAAGCACAUCAAAAGACUGGAGAAGCUCCUCAGUGAAAAAGCCCACAAUGAAGCAGAGUCAAGCGGGUUACUACGAGGCGAGGACCUUGAUGCAGAUAAAAUCAAUGCGCAAAAGAUGAACAAGAU